UACGAAAGGUGCAAGCGUUGUUCGGAUUUACUGGGCGUAAAGAGAGUGUAGGUUGUUUAUUAAGUCGGAUGUGAAAUCCCGGGGCUCAACCCCGGAACUGCAUUCGAUACUGAUAGGCUAGAGUUCGGGAGGGGUAAGCGGAAUUCCGUGUGUAGCAGUGAAAUGCGUAGAUAUACGGAGGAACACCUGAGGCGAAGGCGGCUUACUGGACCGAUACUGACACUGAGACUCGAAAGCGUGGGUAGCAAACAGG
This 253-nucleotide ribosomal RNA is filed under the name uncultured prokaryote. RNAcentral describes it as "partial 16S ribosomal RNA". It matches the Rfam family "Bacterial small subunit ribosomal RNA", at positions 524 to 776 of the family's 1533-position model. The record is from RNAcentral.